Salarias fasciatus (jewelled blenny) is the source of this 100-nucleotide long non-coding RNA. RefSeq lists it as uncharacterized. The record is from RefSeq and is a predicted model, not a curated record. NCBI's taxonomy places the organism in Eukaryota, Metazoa, Chordata, Actinopteri, Blenniiformes, Blenniidae. The transcript has 3 exons.
UGUUUACAAUUUUUGUCCCUUGCAGUUAUUUUUAAUCAGGAUUUGUCAUUUGACUCACAGUUAAGCAACGUUCUGCCUUUCUUCACCUGCAUAGUGUUAG